This 318-nucleotide long non-coding RNA is filed under the name Homo sapiens (human). RNAcentral describes it as "LHRI_LNC589.1". Lineage: Eukaryota; Metazoa; Chordata; Mammalia; Primates; Hominidae. The record is from RNAcentral.
CUCAAAGGAAUAUAAAUCAUUCUGUUAUAAAGAUACAUGCACGCAUAUGUUCAUUGCAGCACAAUUCGCAGUAGCAAAGACUUGGAAUCAAACCAAAUGCCCAUCAAUGAUAGACUGGAUAAAGAAAAUAUGGUACACAUACACCGUGGAAUACUAGGCAGCCAUAAAAAGGAACAAGAUCAUGUCUUUUGCUAGAACAUGGAUGAAGCUGGAAGCUAUUAUCCUCAGCAAACUAACGAGCAAUAGAAAACCAAACACUGCAUGUUCUCACUCAUAAGUGGGAGCUGAAUAAUGAGAACACAUGGACACAGGGAGGGG